RNAcentral lists this ribosomal RNA (253 nucleotides) under uncultured bacterium. Its description in RNAcentral is "partial 16S ribosomal RNA". It matches the Rfam family "Bacterial small subunit ribosomal RNA", at positions 524 to 776 of the family's 1533-position model. The record is from RNAcentral.
UACAGAGGGGGCCAGCGUUAUUCGGAAUCACUGGGCGUAAAGGGCGCGUAGGCGGGCUCUUAAGUCAGGGGUGAAAGCCCAAGGCUCAACCUUGGAAUUGCCUUUAAUACUGAGGGCCUUGAGACCGGAAGAGGUCGGCGGAACUGCGAGUGUAGAGGUGAAAUUCGUAGAUAUUCGCAAGAACACCAGUGGCGAAGGCGGCCGACUGGUCCGGUUCUGACGCUGAGGCGCGAAAGCGUGGGGAGCAAACAGG